UCUAGAACUCGAGAUAUGGGCUGAACACUGAACAGUAUCUGGGAUGCAGGACAGAUUCGGACUUCUUCAUUGUUGCUACAAUUUGGACUUGCAAAAAGGCCUUGUUAAAUCUUGGACUCCUCAUGAAAGUUGUAGGCCUAUGUCUUAGCUUUCCAUC
Populus trichocarpa (black cottonwood) is the source of this 157-nucleotide non-coding RNA. Lineage: Eukaryota; Viridiplantae; Streptophyta; Magnoliopsida; Malpighiales; Salicaceae. The record is from Rfam.